CCUACGGGAGGCAGCAGUGAGGAAUAUUGGUCAAUGGACGCAAGUCUGAACCAGCCAUGCCGCGUGCAGGAAGACGGCUCUAUGAGUUGUAAACUGCUUUUGUACGAGGGUAAACGGAGAUACGCGUAUCUGUCUGAAAGUACCGUACGAAUAAGGAUCGGCUAACUCCGUGCCAGCAGCCGCGGUAAUACGGAGGAUUCCAGCGUUAUCCGGAUUUAUUUGGUUUAAAGGGAGCGUAGGCGGGCGGUUAAGUGAGUGGGGAAAUCCCGCGGCUCAACGUCGGAAUUGCCUCUGAUACUGUUCGGCUAGAGUGUAGUUGCGGUAGGCGGAAUGUAUGGUGUAGCGGUGACAUGCUU
This 356-nucleotide ribosomal RNA is filed under the name uncultured bacterium. RNAcentral describes it as "partial 16S ribosomal RNA". It matches the Rfam family "Bacterial small subunit ribosomal RNA", at positions 338 to 691 of the family's 1533-position model. The record is from RNAcentral.